This 206-nucleotide long non-coding RNA is filed under the name Pan troglodytes (chimpanzee). RNAcentral describes it as "long non-coding RNA NONPTRT011756". The record is from RNAcentral. Lineage: Eukaryota; Metazoa; Chordata; Mammalia; Primates; Hominidae.
AGAUACACUAUGCUGAGGCUGAGGAUCAGAUACACUAUGCUGAGGCUGAGGACCAGAUACACUAUGCUGAGGACCAGAUACACUAUGCUGAGGCUGAGGAUCAGAUACACUAUGCUGAGGCUGAGGAUCAGAGAUACUAUGCCGAGGUUGAGGACCAGAUACACCAUGCUGAGGCUGAGGACCAGAUACACCAUGCUGAGGCUGAG